RNAcentral lists this ribosomal RNA (1819 nucleotides) under Nephila pilipes (giant wood spider). RNAcentral's name for it is "SSU rRNA". It matches the Rfam family "Eukaryotic small subunit ribosomal RNA". Lineage: Eukaryota; Metazoa; Arthropoda; Arachnida; Araneae; Nephilidae. The record is from RNAcentral.
AACUGGUUGAUCCUGCCAGUAGUGAUAUGCUUGUCUCAAAGAUUAAGCCAUGCACGUGUAAGUACAAGCCGUCAAUAGAAGCGAAACCGCAAAUGGCUCAUUAAAUCAGUUACGGUCCCCUUGGCGGUUGAGAUUACUUGGAUAACUGUGGUAAUCCUAGAGCUAAUACAUGCACUGGAGCUCCGAUCCCGCGAGGGAGACGAGCGCUUUUAUUAGACCAAGACCAGCCCGCGUUCGCGCGGCAGCGACUGGUGACUCUGUAUAACCUAGGGCGGAUCGCACGGGCUCGUCCCGGCGACGCGUCUUUCGAGUGUCUGCCUUAUCAACUGUCGAUGGUAGGUCAUGCGCCUACCAUGGUCGUCACGGGUGACGGGGAAUCAGGGUUCGAUUCCGGAGAGGGAGCCUGAGAAACGGCUACCACAUCCAAGGAAGGCAGCAGGCACGCAAAUUACCCACUCCCGGCUCGGGGAGGUAGUGACGAAAAAUAACGAUACGGGACUCUUUCGAGACCCCGUGAUCGGAAUGAUCGCAAGGUAAAGAGUGUUCGAAAGGAACGAUUGGAGGGCAAGUCUGGUGCCAGCAGCUGCGGUAACUCCAGCUCCGAUAGCGUAAGCUAAAUUUGUUGCGGAUGAAAAGCUCGUAGUCGGAUCUCAGCCCGGGACGGUGGGGCGCGUCAGCGCCCCUUCCGGUCUCGCGGGCUCUGGCCGUUCACCGAACCGCGAUCUUAACCGGUCGUGGCGCGGGGUCCGGUCAGUUUACCUUGAAGAAACUGAAGUGCUCAAAGCAGGCCUGUCGCCCGCACAAGGAUGCAUGGAAUAAUGCAAGAGGACCUCGGUUCUAUUGUGUUGGUUUUCGGAACCGGAGGUAAUGAUCGAUAGGAACAGACGGGGGGCAUUCGUACUGAGACGCUAGAGGUGAAAUUCUUGGACCGUCGCAGGACGAACUACUGCGAAAGCAUUUGCCAAGAAUGUUUUCAUUGACCAAGAACGAAAGUCAGAGGUUCGAAGGCGAUCAGAUACCGCCGUAGUUCUGACCGUAAACUAUGCCAGCCAGCGAUCCGGUGCUGUUUGAGAAAGGACACGCCGGGCAGCUUCCGGGAAACCAGAGCUUCUGGGUUCCGGGGGAAGUAUGGUUGCAAAACUGAAACUUAAAGGAAUUGACGGAAGGGCACAACCAGGGAUGGAUUCUGCGGCUCAAUUUGACUCAACACGGGAAAACUCACCCGGUCCGGACACGGCUAGGAUUGACAGAUUAAUGGCUCUUUCUUGAUUCCGUGGGUGGUGGUGCAUGGCCGUUUUUAGUUCGUGGGCAUGACCUGUCUGGUUAAUUCCGAUAACGAGCGAGACUCUUGCCUGCUAAAUAGGCUGUUCCGUGAUGUUUCACGGAGAGAUAAUCUUCUUAGAGGAACAAGCGGUUUCGAGCCGCACGAAAAGGAGCAAAAACAGGUCAGUGAUGCCCUUAGAUGUCCGGGGCCGCACGCGCAAUACAAUGAAGGCGACAGCGUGUGCUUUUUUUCCCUGGCCGAGAGGUCCGGGCAACCCGUUGAAACGCCUUCGUGCUGGGGAUAGGGGACUGUAACUGGCCCCUUGAACGAGGAAUCCCCAGUAGGCUCGAGUCAUUAACUCGUGCCGACUAAGUCCCUGCCCUUUGUACACACCGCCCGUCGUUAAUACCGAUUGAGUGGUUCGGUGAGGUCUUCGGACCUGCGCCUCCGUUCCUUCACGGAAAAGGGGUGUCGGAAAGAUGAUCGAACUCGAUCACUUAGAGGAAUUACAAGUCGUAACAAGGUUUCCGUAGGUGAACCUGCGGAAGGAUCAUU